This 301-nucleotide ribosomal RNA is filed under the name uncultured bacterium. RNAcentral's name for it is "partial 16S ribosomal RNA". It matches the Rfam family "Bacterial small subunit ribosomal RNA", at positions 509 to 807 of the family's 1533-position model. The record is from RNAcentral.
CAGUCGCCGCGGGAAUACAGAGGGUGCGAGCGUUAAUCGGAUUUACUGGGCGUAAAGCGUGCGUAGGCGGCUUCUUAAGUCGGAUGUGAAAUCCCUGAGCUUAACUUAGGAAUUGCAUUCGAUACUGGGAAGCUAGAGUAUGGGAGAGGAUGGUAGAAUUCCAGGUGUAGCGGUGAAACGCGUAGAGAUCUGGAGGAAUACCGAUGGCGAAGGCAGCCAUCUGGCCUAAUACUGACGCUGAGGUACGAAAGCAUGGGGAGCAAACAGGAUUAGAUACCCCUGUAGUCCCUGUCUCUUAUAC